RNAcentral lists this transfer RNA (87 nucleotides) under Spirochaetaceae bacterium. RNAcentral describes it as "tRNA-Ser". It matches the Rfam family "tRNA". Rfam says of the family: Transfer RNA (tRNA) molecules are approximately 80 nucleotides in length. Their secondary structure includes four short double-helical elements and three loops (D, anti-codon, and T loops). Further hydrogen bonds mediate the characteristic L-shaped molecular structure. tRNAs have two regions of fundamental functional importance: the anti-codon, which is responsible for specific mRNA codon recognition, and the 3' end, to which the tRNAs corresponding amino acid is attached (by aminoacyl-tRNA synthetases). tRNAs cope with the degeneracy of the genetic code in two manners: having more than one tRNA (with a specific anti-codon) for a particular amino acid; and 'wobble' base-pairing, i.e. permitting non-standard base-pairing at the 3rd anti-codon position. Lineage: Bacteria; Pseudomonadati; Spirochaetota; Spirochaetia; Spirochaetales; Spirochaetaceae. The record is from RNAcentral.
GGAGAGAUGCGAGAGCGGUUGAAUCGGGCGGUCUCGAAAACCGUUGAACCCGCAUGGGUUCCGAGGGUUCGAAUCCCUCUCUCUCCG